RNAcentral lists this transfer RNA (72 nucleotides) under Ictidomys tridecemlineatus (thirteen-lined ground squirrel). RNAcentral's name for it is "Spermophilus tridecemlineatus (thirteen-lined ground squirrel) tRNA". It matches the Rfam family "tRNA". From Rfam's summary of the family: Transfer RNA (tRNA) molecules are approximately 80 nucleotides in length. Their secondary structure includes four short double-helical elements and three loops (D, anti-codon, and T loops). The record is from Rfam by way of RNAcentral. RNAcentral also lists the same sequence under 1 other name. Lineage: Eukaryota; Metazoa; Chordata; Mammalia; Rodentia; Sciuridae.
UGGGGUGUAGCUCAGUGAUAGAGCUCAUGCUUAGCACACAUGAGGCCCUGGGUUCAAUCCCUGGCAUCACAA